AAUUAAUGAGCUUGUAUAAAAGCAUUUGUUUUGAAAACUUAAUAAAGAUAAAAAUAUCUAUUAAUUU
This 67-nucleotide transfer RNA is filed under the name Ernodes articularis. RNAcentral describes it as "tRNA-Ser". The record is from RNAcentral. Lineage: Eukaryota; Metazoa; Arthropoda; Insecta; Trichoptera; Beraeidae.